RNAcentral lists this small nuclear RNA (290 nucleotides) under Erinaceus europaeus (western European hedgehog). RNAcentral describes it as "7SK RNA". It matches the Rfam family "7SK RNA". From Rfam's summary of the family: 7SK was discovered as an abundant small nuclear RNA in the mid-70s but a possible function has only recently been suggested. Two independent studies have found that 7SK RNA binds the CDK9/cyclin T complex (known as elongation factor P-TEFb). P-TEFb activates transcription by phosphorylating the C-terminal domain of RNA polymerase II. The record is from Rfam by way of RNAcentral. Lineage: Eukaryota; Metazoa; Chordata; Mammalia; Eulipotyphla; Erinaceidae.
GGAUGUGAGGGCGAUCUGGCUGCGACAUCUGUCACCCCACUGAUGGCCAGGGUUGAUUCGGCUGAUCUGGCUGGCGAAGCGGGUGUCCCCUUCCUCCCUCACCGCUCCAUGUGUGUCCCUCCCAAAGCUGCACGCUCAGUCGAAGAGGAUGGCCUUCCCUGAAUAGACGGUAUACAAGUAGCUGUGCUCCCCCGCUAGAACCUCCAAACAAGUCCUCAAGAUAAAGUUUAAAAAAUAAAAAAGGAGCCGGGCAGUAGAGCAGCAGGUUAAGCGCAUGUGGCGCAAAGCGU